UACGUAGGCAGCAAGCGUUGUUCGGAGUUACUGGGCGUAAAGGGUGCGUAGGCGGCUAUUUAAGUUUGGUGUGAAAUCUCCCGGCUCAACCGGGAGGGUGCGCCGAAUACUGAGUGGCUAGAGUUCGGCAGGGGAGACUGGAAUUCCUGGUGUAGCGGUGAAAUGCGCAGAUAUCAGGAGGAACACCGGUGGCGAAGGCGGGUCUCUGGGCCGAUACUGACGCUGAGGAGCGAAAGUGUGGGGAGCGAACAGG
This 253-nucleotide ribosomal RNA is filed under the name uncultured bacterium. RNAcentral describes it as "partial 16S ribosomal RNA". It matches the Rfam family "Bacterial small subunit ribosomal RNA", at positions 524 to 776 of the family's 1533-position model. The record is from RNAcentral.